UACGGGGGGGGCAAGCGUUGUUCGGAAUUACUGGGCGUAAAGAGCUCGUAGGCGGUCUGUCACGUCGGUCGUGAAAACUUGGGGCUUAACCCUGAGCUUGCGGUCGAUACGGGCAUGACUUGAGUUCGGCAGGGGAGACUGGAAUUCCUGGUGUAGCGGUGAAAUGCGCAGAUAUCAGGAGGAACACCGGUGGCGAAGGCGGGUCUCUGGGCCGAUACUGACGCUGAGGAGCGAAAGCGUGGGGAGCGAACAGG
Molecule: ribosomal RNA, 254 nt
Filed under: uncultured bacterium
Lineage: Bacteria
Description: partial 16S ribosomal RNA
Rfam family: Bacterial small subunit ribosomal RNA
Source: RNAcentral